GGCCUGAUGGUCUAGUAGUAUGAUUCUCCCUUCGGGCGCCGAGCCUGUCUCACGAGAGAUUUAACUGGGAGAGGUCCCGGGUUCAAUUCCCGGUCAGGCCC
Marasmius sp. AFHP31 is the source of this 101-nucleotide non-coding RNA. The record is from the annotation of a GenBank genome assembly. Lineage: Eukaryota; Fungi; Basidiomycota; Agaricomycetes; Agaricales; Marasmiaceae.